Molecule: long non-coding RNA, 819 nt
Organism: Malania oleifera
Lineage: Eukaryota; Viridiplantae; Streptophyta; Magnoliopsida; Santalales; Ximeniaceae
Exons: 3
Source: RefSeq, a predicted model, not a curated record
AAAACAAAACAAAGCUUUAGUAGAAACUUCCUUAAGCAAAGCCACUCUGCUCUGCUCUGCUCUGUUCUGUUCUGUUCUGUUCUUCGACCUUUCUCUUCUUCGCCCUUCUUCAUGCUCUGAUCUUCCUCUCUUGCUACAAAUUUUGCGAAGCCCUUCACUUUCUAGUCAUGGUUGCAGGGCAUGCAGCGGAGCAUCACUCUCCUCAGCUUUGGUUCUUCGCUCUCUCUCUCUCUCUCUCUCUCUCCUCUCGAGGCUGGGGUUUUAUGAAAUCUCUGUCUCCGCGGAUCCUCGUGCUUCCUAGUUUGUUAGUGAUGGAUUAGCAUGCCAAUUUCAGCGGCCUCAGGUGCUAAGAACUUUCUCUAUAUUUUCUCCAGGAUCUUGAUCUUAAAAAACCAGGCGUACGUGGACCUUUAAGGCCAGAGUUUGAAGUAACUACUGAGGAGGUUCUAAGAAAAGCAGAUUUCAGGGUGAGCAUACCUAGUUAGCAUACCUUAAUAUUUGUGAUUCCCAUCUUAUGAUAAGGGUUGCCUGAGUUGCAUUCUGAGUGUGAAAAUGGUAGUGUAUCAUUUGACUUGGUACAGAGGAAUUUAUUACAACCCUUUUUUUCUCUAAGUUACCAACUUUUACCAAUGCCGACUCCCGAUUUGGAAGGUUGGAACUUUUACAACCCUUGAUCGUUGUCUUUUCGUGUGCAUAAAUAUUGCGCUGCAUGCAAUUGUAGACUUCUUUUUAGCCCCACCGGCUGUUGCACUGUAUCUGCUUUUCAAGAAAGUUCUUGUUUUAUUUAUCUUAAUCAAUUCUUGAAUGGUGUUUUAUUAA